UACGAAGGGGGCUAGCGUUGUCCGGAAUUAUUGGGCGUAAAGGGCUCGUAGGCGGUUUGUCGCGUCGGGAGUGAAAACCCAGGGCUUAACCCUGGGCUGGCUUCCGAUACGGGCAGACUAGAGGUAUGCAGGGGAGAACGGAAUUCCUGGUGUAGCGGUGAAAUGCGCAGAUAUCAGGAGGAACACCGGUGGCGAAGGCAGCACUCUGGGACGUGACUGACGCUGAGACGCGAAAGCGUGGGGAGCAAACAGG
This 253-nucleotide ribosomal RNA is filed under the name uncultured bacterium. Its description in RNAcentral is "partial 16S ribosomal RNA". It matches the Rfam family "Bacterial small subunit ribosomal RNA", at positions 524 to 776 of the family's 1533-position model. The record is from RNAcentral.